RNAcentral lists this ribosomal RNA (420 nucleotides) under uncultured bacterium. Its description in RNAcentral is "bacterial SSU rRNA". It matches the Rfam family "Bacterial small subunit ribosomal RNA", at positions 359 to 775 of the family's 1533-position model. The record is from RNAcentral.
GAAUAUUGGUCAAUGGGCGCCAGCCUGAACCAGCCAUCCCGCGUGCAGGAAGACGGCGCUAUGCGUUGUAAACUGCUUUUCCAGGGAGAGAAACUUGCGCACGUGUUGCGCAAUUGACGGUACCCUGGGAAUAAGCAUCGGCUAACUCCGUGCCAGCAGCCGCGGUAAUACGGAGGAUGCGAGCGUUAUCCGGAUUCAUUGGGUUUAAAGGGUGCGUAGGCGGACUAUUAAGUCAGUGGUGAAAUCCUGCAGCUUAACUGCAGAACUGCCAUUGAUACUGAUAGCCUUGGGUUUGGUUAAGGUAGGCGGAAUGUGUAAUGUAGCGGUGAAAUGCUUAGAUAUUACACAGAACACCAAUGGCGUAGGCAGCUUACUGAGCCGACACUGACGCUGAGGCACGAAAGCGUGGGGAUCGAACAG